AACCUAGCACACCUGCGGUGUGUACCUGCGGAAGGAUCAUUACUGUUAACUCUUAUAAACACCAGAGUUUUUAAACUCUGUGUUUGCAAACAAAAACACCUUUUAAAAAUAGCUUUUGAGUGUCUGAAUUAACCUAGUUAAUACAAAAACAACUUUCAACAACGGAUCU
Molecule: unclassified non-coding RNA, 169 nt
Filed under: soil metagenome
Description: partial contains 5.8S ribosomal RNA, internal transcribed spacer 2, and large subunit ribosomal RNA
Source: RNAcentral